GCUUAACACAUGCAAGUCGAGGGGCAUCGGGCAUAAAGCUUGCUUUCUUUGCCGGCGACCGGCGCACGGGUGAGUAACACGUAUCCAACCUGCCCUUUACUCGGGGAUAGCCUUUCGAAAGAAAGAUUAAUACCCGAUGGCAUAAUGAUUCCGCAUGGUUUCAUUAUUAAAGGAUUCCGGUAAAGGAUGGGGAUGCGUUCCAUUAGGUUGUUGGUGAGGUAACGGCCCACCAAGCCUUCGAUGGAUAGGGGUUCUGAGAGGAAGGUCCCCCACAUUGGAACUGAGACACGGUCCAAACUCCUACGGGAGGCAGCAGUGAGGAAUAUUGGUCAAUGGGCGCUAGCCUGAACCAGCCAAGUAGCGUGAAGGAUGAAGGCUCUAUGGGUCGUAAACUUCUUUUAUAUAAGAAUAAAGUGCAGUAUGUAUACUGUUUUGUAUGUAUUAUAUGAAUAAGGAUCAGCUAACUCCGUGCCAGCAGCCGCGGUAAUACGGAGGAUCCGAGCGUUAUCCGGAUUUAUUGGGUUUAAAGGGAGCGUAGGUGGACUGGUAAGUCAGUUGUGAAAGUUUGCGGCUCAACCGUAAAAUUGCAGUUGAUACUGUCAGUCUUGAGUACAGUAGAGGUGGGCGGAAUUCGUGGUGUAGCGGUGAAAUGCUUAGAUAUCACGAAGAACUCCGAUUGCGAAGGCAGCUCACUGGACUGCAACUGACACUGAUGCUCGAAAGUGUGGGUAUCAAACAGGAUUAGAUACCCUGGUAGUCCACACAGUAAACGAUGAAUACUCGCUGUUUGCGAUAUACAGUAAGCGGCCAAGCGAAAGCAUUAAGUAUUCCACCUGGGGAGUACGCCGGCAACGGUGAAACUCAAAGGAAUUGACGGGGGCCCGCACAAGCGGAGGAACAUGUGGUUUAAUUCGAUGAUACGCGAGGAACCUUACCCGGGCUUAAAUUGCAGUGGAAUGAUGUGGAAACAUGUCAGUGAGCAAUCACCGCUGUGAAGGUGCUGCAUGGUUGUCGUCAGCUCGUGCCGUGAGGUGUCGGCUUAAGUGCCAUAACGAGCGCAACCCUUAUCUUCAGUUACUAACAGGUCAUGCUGAGGACUCUGGAGAGACUGCCGUCGUAAGAUGUGAGGAAGGUGGGGAUGACGUCAAAUCAGCACGGCCCUUACGUCCGGGGCUACACACGUGUUACAAUGGGGGGUACAGAAGGCAGCUAGCGGGUGACCGUAUGCUAAUCCCAAAAUCCUCUCUCAGUUCGGAUCGAAGUCUGCAACCCGACUUCGUGAAGCUGGAUUCGCUAGUAAUCGCGCAUCAGCCACGGCGCGGUGAAUACGUUCCCGGGCCUUGUACACACCGCCCGUCAAGCCAUGGGAGCCGGGGGUACCUGAAGUACGUAACCGCAAGGAUCGUCCUAGGGUAAAACUGGUGACUGGGGCUAAGU
This 1437-nucleotide ribosomal RNA is filed under the name uncultured organism. RNAcentral describes it as "16S ribosomal RNA". It matches the Rfam family "Bacterial small subunit ribosomal RNA". The record is from RNAcentral.